GACGAACGCUGGCGGCGUGCCUAAUACAUGCAAGUUGAGCGCUGAAGCUUGGUACUUGUUCCUCCUGCAUUAGCAGCGAACGGGUGAGUAACGCGUGGGUAAUCUACCUUUGAGCGUGGGACAACUUUUGGAAACGAAUGCUAAUACCGCAUAAAAUCUUUAACCACAUGUUUUAAGUUUGAAAGAUGCUUUUGCUUCCCUCAAUGAUGAUCCCGCCUUGUCUUAGGUAGUUGGUUAGGUUAAGGCCCACCAAGGCGAUGAUACAUAACCGACCUUAGAAGGUGAACGGCCACAAUGGGACUGGGAAAAGGGCCAAAAUUCUAAGGGAGGGAGCAAGAGGGGAACUUCGGGCAUGGACGAAAGUCCGACCGAGCAACGCCGCGGGAGUGAAGAAGGUUUUCGGAUCGUAAAACUCUGGUGGUAGAGAAGAAAGUUGGGGAGAGUGGAAAGCGCAUCAAGUGACGGUAACUAACCAGAAAGGGACGGCUAACUACGUG
This 497-nucleotide ribosomal RNA is filed under the name uncultured bacterium. RNAcentral's name for it is "partial 16S ribosomal RNA". It matches the Rfam family "Bacterial small subunit ribosomal RNA", at positions 28 to 507 of the family's 1533-position model. The record is from RNAcentral.